GGGGGGUGGGGAGGGCACUGGUGCGUGGGUAGAGUCGCUUUGCCGCGUGCCUUAUUUAUUUCUCUCUCUAUCCACGUAUUUAUUUAUUUGUUUCUUUCUUUAUUUAUUUGUUUGUUGACCAUGAAAUUUACAUCUUCCACGAUCUUCCAGAUCCGAUACUUGCUUCCUUGAAUUGGCCUUAAAUCCAAGCUCAAUCUCAGCCUCUCUUUCCAAGAAUCUGGAUGCAAAACAACAUUUGACUUGAGAUGCUGCUUAGAUCUAUGAUUGAAAUACCUUGGCAACACUCAUGUCAGUCUUAAGUUGGGAAGGAGCUGCCACUUGUUACCAUCUGGGAAUGGACUUUGUAUGGUCUGUGGCCAGUGCCACAUCUCAGCAUCUCAGCUGUGGCCCCCUCAUGCCAAAGGUGCUGCAAGCACAGAGGAUGAAAAUUUGCUCCUCAGAGCUAGCAUGGAAUCCUGGGGAAGACUUAUCCCCCACAUGGAAUCCCAGAGGUAUCGCUGGUGGACCUUCCCUGAAGCUCAGCCCUGAAAGUGCUGUCUCUGGGGCAGAGCAGUUGGUGAGUCUGCUCUGGGAUGCAGCCCCCGAGGGUCAGUGGCUGAGACACGAUGUAGGUGAGUCUGCUGAAGGCCCAUUGAAUACACAGGUGAAUCUGCCCCAGACAGGGUCUACACAUCACUCCAGCCCCGUCAGCAGCAGUUACCUCUGAGCAACCAUCAACACACACCGUCCAAGGGACACAGCUUUAGAUUUCAUGAUCGCUGGCUCCAGGAGAUCAGCAACAGGAGAGCCUCCAUCCUAUCAGCCAUGGCCCUUGGGUCCCAGCACUGGCUGAUGUGAAGCUAUCCCCAGCUCAGCUGUCACCUGUUGCAGCGGGAGCCCAGGAGACCUCCAGAGCUUCCUGUGAAUGGAUGGUCCUUAGGAACUCAUCCGCUGCAGCUGGGAUUAACAGCCCUGGCUGUAGGGUGAUGGCUUGAGAUCCUCAGCUGCUGGAAAUGUCCCACAGAUGUGUGCUGGGAGCUUUCACAGGCACCUGCUGGCAGUGCAUUGCAGAAAACCCAUGAAAGAAGAGUGAUCACACGAUUAACUGAAGGACGCAAAGUACAGAUUUUAUUUGGAAACAUUACAUUUUGCCAUUUUAAAAGCAAUUUAUGUCCAGAUUGUGGCAAAACAUUUUUGCCUGAAACGUAAGGUAUAUAUAUAACUACAUGUAAAAU
This is a long non-coding RNA of Gallus gallus (chicken), 1214 nucleotides long. Lineage: Eukaryota; Metazoa; Chordata; Aves; Galliformes; Phasianidae. The record is from Ensembl.